UGACAUAUAAAAAUGAUAUUGAGAAGUUAAACAUUAUUUGUAAUUGUACACCAAAUAUCAUAUUACCUUCGCGUACCUAUCCUCGAAAACAUAGAAGUUUAUGUCAAUAAUCAUAUGUCUAUGAGUAUACGUCAAACGUCAAUUCCUCAGUAACGUCGGCAAUACUGAAUAUUUAUUUUCAUGAAUCAAAAACAUUCUAUAAUCUAGUACAUUCCAGUUAAUUUAACAAUUUUACAGGAUAUAUGCAUAGAAAUUCAGAACAAUGACGAAGCUUUUGGAAUGGAUAUCGGUGAUAUCUGCCGUGUUUGCGGUAUGGUACUCCUUAAUCGGCGGCUACGUUAGGCAUCCACUUAUAGAAAAAUACAUGAACAUAAUUCUAGUUUCUCCAAUACUUUUCGUCAUAUUGUUCGGCCUGUAUGCUGUCACCGUGGUUUUAUUCAGAGUUUUCACGUUUAACAACUGCGAGCAGGCGGCCAAGGAGUUGCAGCAGGAGAUUAUUGAGGCUAAAAAGGAUUUGCAUGAUAAGGGACUUAGAUGGUAACAAUUCCACUAGAUUUAAGCUUAUGAUUAUUGCAAUUUUGUACAAGUUUAAUAUAUUAUAUUUUUAAGCAGU
Manduca sexta (tobacco hornworm) is the source of this 613-nucleotide RNA transcript. It is a transcript of the gene named dolichol-phosphate mannosyltransferase subunit 3, with no coding region annotated. The transcript has 2 exons. Lineage: Eukaryota; Metazoa; Arthropoda; Insecta; Lepidoptera; Sphingidae. The record is from RefSeq and is a predicted model, not a curated record.